ACCGGCUGACGAGUCUGACAUAGGACGAAACGCUCGUUCUGUAU
This 44-nucleotide non-coding RNA is filed under the name Schistosoma haematobium. The record is from RNAcentral. Lineage: Eukaryota; Metazoa; Platyhelminthes; Trematoda; Strigeidida; Schistosomatidae.